RNAcentral lists this ribosomal RNA (253 nucleotides) under uncultured bacterium. RNAcentral's name for it is "partial 16S ribosomal RNA". It matches the Rfam family "Bacterial small subunit ribosomal RNA", at positions 524 to 776 of the family's 1533-position model. The record is from RNAcentral.
UACGUAGGGUGCGAGCGUUGUCCGGAAUUAUUGGGCGUAAAGAGCUCGUAGGCGGCUUGUCACGUCGGGGGUGAAAGCCCGGGGCUUAACCCCGGGUCUGCAUUCGAUACGGGCAGGCUAGAGUGUGGUAGGGGAGAUCGGAAUUCCUGGUGUAGCGGUGAAAUGCGCAGAUAUCAGGAGGAACACCGGUGGCGAAGGCGGAUCUCUGGGCCAUUACUGACGCUGAGGAGCGAAAGCGUGGUGAGCGAACAGG